GAGCAAAUCCAACAGAGAGAAGAUAUGCAUAGAAGCUCUGGCAGGUUCCCUGUCACAGCUUUCCUUUCCCUACAGGAAAGAACACGCUUUGAGAAUCUGGGGCCCCAGUUAACGGGAAAGUCAAAUGAAGAUGGAAAACUGGGCCCAGGUGUCAUCGACCUUACUCGGCCAGAAGAUGCAGAGGGAAGUAAAGCAAUGAAUGGCUCUGCAGCUAAACUACAGCAGUAUUAUUGUUGGCCAACAGGAGGUGCCACUGUGGCUGAAGCACGAGUCUACAGGGACGCCCGCGGCCGUGCCAGCAGCGAGCCACACAUCAAGCGACCAAUGAAUGCAUUCAUGGUUUGGGCAAAGGAUGAGAGGAGAAAAAUCCUUCAGGCCUUCCCCGACAUGCAUAACUCCAACAUUAGCAAAAUCUUAGGAUCUCGCUGGAAAUCAAUGUCCAACCAGGAGAAGCAACCUUAUUAUGAAGAGCAGGCCCGGCUAAGCAAGAUCCACUUAGAGAAGUACCCAAACUAUAAAUACAAACCCCGACCGAAACGCACCUGCAUUGUUGAUGGCAAAAAGCUUCGGAUUG
Molecule: small RNA, 574 nt
Filed under: Pongo abelii (Sumatran orangutan)
Lineage: Eukaryota; Metazoa; Chordata; Mammalia; Primates; Hominidae
Description: processed transcript
Source: RNAcentral